Long non-coding RNA from Haliotis rubra (blacklip abalone), 940 nucleotides. RefSeq lists it as uncharacterized. The transcript has 2 exons. The record is from RefSeq and is a predicted model, not a curated record. NCBI's taxonomy places the organism in Eukaryota, Metazoa, Mollusca, Gastropoda, Lepetellida, Haliotidae.
UGAUUUAACCACAUUUGGCUGGUGAGUGUUUGGUUUCACGCCGUCGUCAACAGUAUUUCAGUUAUUUAACGGCUUGUCAGCUUGAUGUAGGAAAAAACCCGAAGUGAUGCAGGUGCUAGAUGUUUACCACUUUGGUGAGACACACGUGCAUGGGUGUGGCAUAUUGAGCCAACUCAGAAACAUAAUCAGGGCAAACCGGGAUUCGAACCCACCACCAUAAGAUUCUUGUAGGCCUUUGACAUAUACUUGUACGGCGAUUUCUAGCGCCACAGACCACUGGGCCACCCAUGCGUACCUACCAUGAUUAUAUGUCAUUUACAAAUUCUUUGUAACUGAAGCUGAUUUAUUCUCUUUGACGAGAGACACUUAUAUCUGGGUACUAACAAUCAUACCCGGUUGUGCGUGGGUCUUUAGCAGUCUAGGUUCGCUAACUUGGUUGAUGCAGUCUUCGUCUGCCAUGUGUUUAGAUCGAUGCAAAGGGUGUCUGUCAGAGGAUUGCCUGAUGCUGACUUAUGUGCUUCGUAAAAUAACCAAGAAACUCACACAGAAAUGUUUUAAUCUUAUACUCUUAAAGUAAACAAUCAAUGGAUAAACAAUCACGUUCUCAUAAGUCCACGUGGAAUGUGUAUCACAGGUUUCGAAGUUUUGACUUUUCAAGCGCGACUUGUCAUGGAGACCUACAACAUAAACAAAAUGUACGAUAUAAACAUGUGGCAAUUAACUACAAAUUAAGGUCAACAGAUAGUCAGGCAAUCUUUAAAGAAAGACAUUCAACAUAAGGGAAAGGUUAAAUAUGAUUUAAAAUAAUUACAUAUAAGAAUGGAAUCGUCCACGUGUCUGACUCAUCAAAACUUUCUCUUUAAGGUAAUAUCAAAGCUAUUUUUGGUUACCAAAUAUACUUAGGCAUGUCACAUUUGGACUUAUCACACUAUGCUCAGAA